RNAcentral lists this ribosomal RNA (429 nucleotides) under Bacteroidota bacterium. RNAcentral's name for it is "Bacteroidetes bacterium partial 16S ribosomal RNA". It matches the Rfam family "Bacterial small subunit ribosomal RNA", at positions 355 to 776 of the family's 1533-position model. The record is from RNAcentral. Lineage: Bacteria; Pseudomonadati; Bacteroidota.
UAGGGAAUCUUCGGCAAUGGGGGGAACCCUGAUCGAGCAACGCCGCGUGAGUGAAGAAGGCUUUCGGAUCGUAAAGCUCUGUUGUUAAGGAAGAACGAGUGUGAGAAUGGAAAGUUCAUACUGUGACGGUACUUAACCAGAAAGGGACGGCUAACUACGUGCCAGCAGCCGCGGUAAUACGUAGGUCCCGAGCGUUGUCCGGAUUUAUUGGGCGUAAAGCGAGCGCAGGCGGUUAGAUAAGUCUGAAGUUAAAGGCAGUGGCUCAACCAUUGUAGGCUUUGGAAACUGUUUAACUUGAGUGCAGAAGGGGAGAGUGGAAUUCCAUGUGUAGCGGUGAAAUGCGUAGAUAUAUGGAGGAACACCGGUGGCGAAAGCGGCUCUCUGGUCUGUAACUGACGCUGAGGCUCGAAAGCGUGGGGAGCGAACAGG